RNA transcript from Panicum virgatum (switchgrass), 2035 nucleotides. It is a transcript of the gene named homoserine dehydrogenase-like, with no coding region annotated. The transcript is spliced from 12 exons. The record is from RefSeq and is a predicted model, not a curated record. Lineage: Eukaryota; Viridiplantae; Streptophyta; Magnoliopsida; Poales; Poaceae.
CCGCCGCCGCCGCCGCCGCCGCCACCGCCGCCGCUGGGCAGUCUAGCGGCGAUCCACCGGCUGGGCCUGGGCCUCACUUCCCAGUCUCUGAAACUGACACCAUGGCCCCACACUCUGGUGGUGGCUGAAUCAGCACGGCCCACACAUUGGGUCCACACGCCAGAGAGACGAGCUCCGUCUGUGCGAUUACACCACGCGAGCACAACACCCCCUCCCUCUCUCCGUCGCGUCACAGGCGACGGUGGCGGCGACGAAGGAUCCCCGGCGGCUCUUGGUGGACUCGACGGCCGUUGGAGGUUUGCCGCCGGCGGGUUCAGCAGGACCUAGCUAGACGCUGCUUUCCUCCGGACAAAUCCAAGUUGGGGAAAUGCCGACGGCGGUGAAGUCGGUGCUGCCCGUGGUGCUCCUCGGCUGCGGCGGCGUUGGCCGCUACCUCCUCCGACACAUCGUGUCCUGCCGUCCCCUCCACGCCAACCAAGGCGUCGCCAUCCGGGUGGUGGGCGUCGCCGAUAGCUCUUCCCUGCUCGUCGCCGACGACGUCAACUCAAGCGGCCUCGAUGACGCGCUCCUCACCCACCUCUGCGCCGCCAAGUCUGCCGGCUCUCCCCUGUCAUCCCUGCUCAGCCAAGGGAACUAUCAGCUGUUCAGGAACCCUGAGGCUAGGAGCAAAGUCAUUGACGCUGCUACCACGCUUGGAAGAACAACCGGUCUUGUAUUAGUUGAUUGUUCAGCAACCUAUGACACUGUUAAUCUGAUGAAGGAUGCCGUGGGUCAUGGAUGCUGCAUUGUAUUGGCAAACAAGAAACCUCUUACUGGUGCUUAUGAGGAUUUUCAAAAGUUGGUCUCCAACUUCCGUCAGAUAAGAUUUGAAUCUACUGUUGGAGCAGGUUUGCCCGUGAUAGCUUCUGUAACCCGUAUUAUUGCAUCAGGAGAUCCAAUUUCUCGUAUAGUUGGCAGUCUAAGUGGUACACUUGGUUAUGUGAUGAGUGAGCUAGAGGAUGGAAAGAGAUUUAGUGAAGUUGUAAAAACAGCCAAGUCUCUUGGCUUUACAGAACCAGAUCCACGAGAUGAUCUUGGUGGAAUGGAUGUGGCUAGAAAGGCAUUGAUCCUAGCGAGGCUUCUGGGGCAACAAAUCAGCAUGGACAAUAUCAAUGUUGAGAGUUUAUAUCCUAGCGAAUUAGGACCUGAUGCAGUAUCCACAGAGGACUUCCUUGAAAGUGGUUUAGUACAACUUGACAGGAGCAUGGAAGAAAGAGUCAGAGCAGCAUCUUCUAGAGGAAAUGUUCUCCGCUAUGUCUGUGAGAUUGGAAGCAAAGGGUAUGCACCAAGCCUAGUGUUAUAGUACCAUGCAAUGUCCACUGGCAUCAUAAAUCAGGGUGCCAGGUAGGCCUUAAAGAGCUCCAAAAAGAUUCCGCGCUCGGCAGAUUGAGGGGAAGUGACAAUGUGGUGGAGAUAUACAGCCGAUGCUACGAGAGCUCACCUCUGGUGAUCCAGGGCGCAGGAGCUGGCAACGACACCACUGCUGCAGGCGUUCUUGCUGAUAUAAUGGACCUCCAGGACCUGUUUCAGAAGCCGGCAUGAUUGGUGUCCACGGCAUCUUGUUAGCACCGGGGCAUUCAGUUGUUGUGCAUAGUAGCAUCCUUGAGUGCUUCUGAUCUGUCUCUCCUACGGGGAUGGUUGGUUGGUCGAGGAUGGAGUUGGGGUCGUCGUCGCACGGACAUUUUUGUUCAUUCAGCGGCAUUGGAACAGCAUGGCGAGUUUUCCUAGAGAAAGAAAUCUUUUAUUCCAUCGAAAUAUUCGAUGUGUUCGUUUGGCUGUGGCUGAUGGCUGGUGCUGAUUUGUUAUGACAGAACAAUACUGCUGACUGACUGGUAGCUGGUGGUUGGUGUUGAUUUAGGAUGAGAGAAUAAUAAUGCUAUCUGGUUGGCUGACAAGCCAAGCGAACACAACGAUUUAAGGUCCCUUUGUGUACAACCAAGCAGACGUGGUGACGCUGAUGAUAUAUUGAUGUGAUGUGAUGGGAACUUUUUUUACU